UAUAAGGCAUCUGUGUCAAAUCUUACAUCUAAAGGGGAAGUACCUAGCGUGGCCUACCACAAUUCUGUAUCAGAUUCAAGUGUAUCCAUCAGAUUUCAAAUCCGUUUUCUAGAUCAACAAAAUAUUAUUAUACUUGGUUUCAGAAAUUGAAGUGGAAAGUAGCGUCUUACUGAUAUCACAAAAGAGAGAUUUGAACAAGAAUUGAAUAUUUUACUACCAGAGAAGCAAUGAUAAUUAGAUUAGAAGAACUUAAUAAGUCUUGUUUAUGUAAUUAGCAUGAAGUUGAAAAAGCUAAUUAUACAGAAUUCUUUAGCCACUUCCAAUUAAAUUUAUUCCUCUUUUAUUGGUAUGCAUUCAAUCAAUGCACAAACUCUAGCUAUAAAUUAAGGAAUGACCAUUGAGUAAUACAUGAGAUUCUUUGAAAAAAGAUAAGGAAUGGUGAAAAUGUAUAGAGAUUUUAUUGUGUAUAUAUUAUUUAUUAUGUGUAUAUGAUUUGCAUAUGUACUAA
This 508-nucleotide long non-coding RNA is filed under the name Trifolium pratense (red clover). Its description in RNAcentral is "long non-coding RNA (TPRA_LNC011316)". The record is from RNAcentral. Lineage: Eukaryota; Viridiplantae; Streptophyta; Magnoliopsida; Fabales; Fabaceae.